This 460-nucleotide ribosomal RNA is filed under the name uncultured bacterium. Its description in RNAcentral is "partial 16S ribosomal RNA". It matches the Rfam family "Bacterial small subunit ribosomal RNA", at positions 338 to 795 of the family's 1533-position model. The record is from RNAcentral.
CCUACGGGUGGCAGCAGUGAGGAAUAUUGGUCAAUGGACGAGAGUCUGAACCAGCCAAGUAGCGUGAAGGAUGACUGCCCUAUGGGUUGUAAACUUCUUUUAUAUGGGAAUAAAAUGUUCCACGUGUGGGAUUUUGUAUGUACCAUAUGAAUAAGGAUCGGCUAACUCCGUGCCAGCAGCCGCGGUAAUACGGAGGAUCCGAGCGUUAUCCGGUUUUAUUGGGUUUAAAGGGAGCGUAGCUGGAUUGUUAAGUCAGUUGUGAAAGUUUGCGGCUCAACCGUAAAAUUGCAGUUGAAACUGGCAGUCUUGAGUACAGUAGAGGUGGGCGGAAUUCGUGGUGUAGCGGUGAAAUGCUUAGAUAUCACGAAGAACUCCGAUUGCGAAGGCAGUUCACUGGACUGCAACUGACACUGAGGCUCGAAAGUGUGGGUAUCAAACAGGAUUAGAUACCCUGGUAGUC